GUACCGUGAGGGAAAGGCGAAAAGAACCCCGGCGAGGGGAGUGAAAAAGAACCUGAAACCGUGUACGUACAAGCAGUGGGAGCACAGGUUUACCUGUGUGACUGCGUACCUUUUGUAUAAUGGGUCAGCGACUUAUAUUCUGUAGCAAGGUUAACCGAAUAGGGGAGCCGGAGGGAAACCGAGUCUUAAUUGGGCGUUAAGUUGCAGGGUAUAGACCCGAAACCCGGUGAUCUAGCCAUGGGCAGGUUGAAGGUUGGGUAACACUAACUGGAGGACCGAACCGACUAAUGUUGAAAAAUUAGCGGAUGACCUGUGGCUGGGGGUGAAAGGCCAAUCAAACCGGGAGAUAGCUGGUUCUCCCCGAAAGCUAUUUAGGUAGCGCCUCGUGAAUUCAUCUCCGGGGGUAGAGCACUGUUUCGGCUAGGGGGCCAUCCCGGCUUACCAACCCGAUGCAAACUGCGAAUACCGGAGAAUGUUAUCACGGGAGACACACGGCGGGUGCUAACGUCCGUCGUGAAGAGGGAAACAACCCAGACCGCCAGCUAAGGUCCCAAAGUCAUGGUUAAGUGGGAAACGAUGUGGGAAGGCCCAGACAGCCAGGAUGUUGGCUUAGAAGCAGCCAUCAUUUAAAGAAAGCGUAAUAGCUCACUGGUCGAGUCGGCCUGCGCGGAAGAUGUAACGGGGCUAAACCAUGCACCGAAGCUGCGGCAGCGAACGUAUCACUUAAAGCGAUUCAGCGGGUUACGAUUGACGGAGCGAAGCGACGUCAAAGCGUAUACAAAGUCGAGUCGGUUUAAGGAUACGUU
This 806-nucleotide ribosomal RNA is filed under the name Salmonella enterica subsp. enterica serovar Corvallis. Its description in RNAcentral is "partial 23S ribosomal RNA". It matches the Rfam family "Bacterial large subunit ribosomal RNA", at positions 498 to 1298 of the family's 2925-position model. Lineage: Bacteria; Pseudomonadati; Pseudomonadota; Gammaproteobacteria; Enterobacterales; Enterobacteriaceae. The record is from RNAcentral.